GCCCCCCGGCUCCCGAAAUAGGAAGCCCGGGGCGAGCGCUCGCUCACGGGGGCUGGGCGCCCAUCCCCCACCCGCCCAGGGGGGAGGGGCCCGGCCGGUGGCGCCGGGCUCGCCUGCGUCAGCGCCGGUGCCCGGCCGCGGAGUCCCAUGCCCGAGCUGGCAACAUCUGCUCCUUCCCCUGGCUUGGGGCGCUCUCCGGAAUCUGAGCAGGAAGCGACUGGGGCCCGGCCGCGAGCUAAUGCGCACGCCACCGACACUACCACCUGCGUCCCUGCGGCCGAGAUGAGACUAGAGGAGAGGGAAGCUCGCCCUUGGGUUGGUGACCCCCGCGGGGAAAGCUGUGGCUGACUCUGUGGCACGGGCGUCUUUGCCCUUAAUUCAUAGGAGUGAACAAUGGGAGCUCAGCUCGGAGGAACCCGUUCAUGAAUCCAGCAGCUAUUAAAACACUUGGUUUGUGCUGGGAACUGCUGUGGAGAGAGACAACGGGAAACAGGCCCAUGUGGUGGAGAGCUGCAGCUGGGUUGACAAUUGCUGGUGGAAAGAUGUGUGUCCCCAUCCUAACUUCACUGGGUAUUAGGCUGUGGCCUUCAGCAAUGCACUGAAGUCACUUGUCGUUUCAGUUUUGUCUUUGAAGUAGAGCAACCACAGCCUGGGAGGAUGGAGAAGAGGAGCGAUGAGUAACCAGGAGUGACCAAUGAGAUGCGCCGGCACACCGGAUGAUCCAUGGGGCCAUGGGGAGGGGAAAGGGAGGCCUGCUCAGCAUCUCCAGCUCUUUCCUGGACCCUCCCUUGCCAUCUGGGUGCCUCCAUUAAGGACUGUGCUGCUGGCCUGGGAAAGGUUUGGAGGUGGAGCCAAAGAAGCAGAGCUAGAGGGCCCACUGACGCGGGCAUGUGGAGACCCUCCUUUUGCCCCUCCGGGAUCUAAGUCAGUGGAUGCUGACCAUCUUCACCUUGCUCCUUGCCACCUCUAAUACCUGCAACUGGGACUUUUUCUCUUUUUCUGGUAAUGGUAGAGCUCUCAGUCUCUGCCUACCAUGGAAUCGUGGGGUUUUGAUAACCCUUUGUUCCACACCCUCCGUGCUUCUCCCUUGGUACAUGGAAUAUCAGAAGCAUUCUGCUUAGAAAGAGGCCUCUUUCAAGCAGGGCACUGUGGUGGCACCCUCAUCUAAUCCCAGAUACUCGGAGACUAAGGCAAGUUUCCUCCCCAGGACAGUUGAAUGAGCCAAGUCCUUUUGAGACCCUGAGUCAAAAGGAAGGUUCCAAGUGUUUGGUUAACUUUUUCUGAGGUCAUGGAGUAGACAUUAGAUACUGCAGAUAAGUUCCCUCCUCCCUCCCUUUCUGUCCCUUUAAAUAACCUGUCCACCAUACUACUCUUAAUUGCACUCCCCCUGAGGCCAGGCCCUAUGCUGGGCUUGGGGGAUCUGGUAAACAGGAAAGCUGCGGCCCUGCCCCCGUCACAGUUUAGAGGGACUGCAGCCACAGGGGGUGGAGGCAAGUGUUCCUUCUGCCACUAGGAAAUCUGCUUCCUUGUUCUCCAAAUUCUGCCAGGUGAGAACUGGACUUCUGGAUGCCUAUUGUAACCUGUGUCUCAAAGGCAGCUUUCUUUGGGGACAGACCUGUUUCCAGGAAAUCAGCCUCAGGAGUCGCUGUGGGGUGGGUCUGAGAGGACAAACGACGCCAGCACCCACAGGUGUACUCAACACUGGUUCGCUUCUGAGAAACAGCUGCCCCAGGCAGGCAGCCUGCUCCCUAGAAGGGGACAAAGGCCCUGCAGCCCCAGGGGGAGGGGCCGCUCAGGAGCUGGGAGGGGCCACCUUCCCGGAACCAGCGGUUUUAUUUCUUUUUCCAGUGCUGGGGAUUGAACCCAGGGCCUUGCCUGUGCUGGGCAAGCACUUACCACUGAGCUACCCCCAGCCCUAACCAGCUGCUCUGUCUGUUACUGACAGAAUAAAGCCCAGCCUCUUUAGCCUGG
Long non-coding RNA from Sciurus carolinensis (gray squirrel), 1971 nucleotides. RefSeq lists it as uncharacterized. The transcript is spliced from 5 exons. Lineage: Eukaryota; Metazoa; Chordata; Mammalia; Rodentia; Sciuridae. The record is from RefSeq and is a predicted model, not a curated record.